Molecule: unclassified non-coding RNA, 217 nt
Filed under: Glomus sp.
Lineage: Eukaryota; Fungi; Glomeromycota; Glomeromycetes; Glomerales; Glomeraceae
Description: partial contains 5.8S ribosomal RNA and internal transcribed spacer 2
Rfam family: 5.8S ribosomal RNA (bases 1-65)
Source: RNAcentral
GUGAAUCAUCAAAUUUUUGAACGCAAAUUGCACUCUCUUCGGAGAGUAUGCCUGUUUGAGGGUCAGCCUAAAAAAAAAAUCGACAUAGUCGCUGUUUCUCGUUGACAUUCGUCGGAAAUUUGUUCAUCUUAAACCUUUUGUUUUUAAGUGGCUUAAAUUUUUCUUUACUUUUCCACUCACGUUUCUCCUUUUUCCUUCUUCUCCUUUUAAGUUAUCC